UACGUAGGGUGCAAGCGUUUAAUCGGAAUUACUGGGCGUAAAGGGCGCGCAGGCGGCCGAUCAAGUCAGAUGUGAAAGCCCCGGGCUCAACCUGGGAAUAGCAUUUGGGACUGGUCGGCUAGAGUUCGGGAGAGGAGAGUGGAAUUCCCAGUGUAGAGGUGAAAUUCGUAGAUAUUGGGAAGAACACCGGUGGCGAAGGCGGCUCUCUGGACCGAUACUGA
Molecule: ribosomal RNA, 221 nt
Filed under: uncultured bacterium
Lineage: Bacteria
Description: partial 16S ribosomal RNA
Rfam family: Bacterial small subunit ribosomal RNA
Source: RNAcentral